This is a long non-coding RNA of Oreochromis niloticus (Nile tilapia), 2616 nucleotides long. The record is from Ensembl. NCBI's taxonomy places the organism in Eukaryota, Metazoa, Chordata, Actinopteri, Cichliformes, Cichlidae.
AUCAAUCAGUUUGAUCUGUGUGUUCUUUGAUUAUUGAUCAGUGAUGUCAGAGUGGAGUCAGUGUGAUGUUGUUGUUGUGUGUUUGAGACUUUUAGUGUCCAUGAAGGUCUCUGCUGCCGUAGAUCCUCUGAACUGUGACAGAGGUCUCACUCUGGAGGAAACUCUCAGCACUUUCCAGCAGCUCCUCCAUCAUGGAGGACGUUCCCUCACUGUAACAGGUGGAGGAGAGAGGAGAGGAAGCACAGGUGGAUCCUCUGAGGAAGAGGAGCGUUCCUACAAACCACAUGAUCACAUGACCAGAGGGGCGUGGCCUUCAGUGGUAGUAAUAAAGGAACAGUCCACAUGUUCCACUUUGAAGGCUCAUCUCCAACAAAGCAGACCUGUGAUCACUUUAACUCAGUAUGAUGGAUUGUUUGGAUUUGUCUUUGUUUCUCUGGCUUUUCUUGUGUGUCUGUGUGUCUUUGUAUGUUGGAUAGAGUCAUGUGACCUGCCCAGGGACUACACAUGCUCACGGCACUUUUACACUUUUCUAGCCUUUUAGGCACGACUGCAAAACUUUGGACAUUUCCAUAAAUGUGAGAAGACAUUAAAGACCUCGGGGAGUGAUGCUCCCUUUAUUGGAUUUUGGCUCAUGUCCUUGCAGUUUCUCACAUUACAAAUAUCUUUGUUGUCUUCUGUUUCACUUCAAUGAUGUUCUCUCAAGGGCAGCAACAUGUCUGCCAUGUUUCUGCAAACAGACAAAAGAACAGUAAUAAUUAGGAUUAUUAGCCAAUCGGUGCCUCUUCCUGUUUAUCACAAUGUUACCGUUAUUUAGAAAAUAGCUGUUGGUGAACAGCCUCUCCCGUCUGUGGACCCUCAGUACUGCCGGACUCAUCUCAUACUGAACACACCCACUCUGUGUCAAUCAUCAGUGGAUUCACUGUUUCUCAGGUUUCAUUAAAGGUUUUUCUACAUUCUUUGUUCCUGUCAGAGCGUCACGUGAGUCAUUAAACAUCAGUGAUCAGUAUAAAUAUGGAACAUGUACAGGACACGUCAGUCUGUGUGGACCUGCUGAUGUCAUCACUGUGUUUACUUUAUUGUUUGUUGUCUUAUGGUCGGGAUUCAGAAAUGUUCACUGCCAUCACGUGUGUGUGUGUGUGUGUGUGUGUGUGUGUGUGUGUGUGUGUGUGUGUGUGUGUGUGUGUGUGUGUGUGUGUGUGUGUGUUUUUGGGGCGUCCACACUGUAACACUAUGUCAGGUUGACUCACUGUGAGAGAAGAACAGUGACUGGAACAAUCUGAGCUCAUAUUGUGAAUAGAAGAAGAGAGAGCUGUGCCCACUGGAGCUCAAACAGAAACAUUAAGAUUCAUUAAACAUUAUGAAGAGAAGUAAACCAGUUAAACUAACUUAAAAGUCUGAAUGAUUAAGUUAAGUGUUUGCUCGUAGGGGGUCAUCGACCUCAUGUUUGUCAAUGUGGGAACUUUGUGUCGACUAAAUGCAACUUAAAGCUUGACGGUUGCCCAAAUGUUUUAAAGAAGUUGAUGAAUUCAAAAAGCUGUGACACUUGUUGCUCAACAUUUUUUAAUUUUUGUUUUCAAAGCUUCUUCUGGUACGAAACUGACAUGCCAGUGGGAGGAGUCAGCAGACGACCUGCUCUACCUGCUGAGCCACAGGUGGAGUCAUCAGGGUGGAGUCGUUUCAGUAAGGACAGAUCAAUAGAAAGAAUGAAGAUGAGUUAUUGAUGAGCAGAAUAUAGACAGAUGUUUGGUGGUUAGACUCCGAUGGCCCGUCUCAGCAGAACUGAACCCAGCUGUGACAGGAUUAGAGCAGGACCCCAAAGAAAGAAAGUGAUGUCACCACAGCAGAGUUCUGGUCUACAGGGAAAAGAACAUGAGUGUUAAAGGUGAUGCAUGGCACAGGUAAGCAUAGCAAGCAUGAGCACAGAGAAGGGUGAGAAACUGAAGAAGGGUCUGGAAGAUCCUGACCAGGUCCAGAGGCCAGCAUGAUGUCCUGAGGAACAGACGCCCAAAGCAUCGGCGUGAGUGUCGGGCAGCCCUGUGAUAGCAGGACAUGUUUGGUAUUCAGUCAGAAAUGAAAAGGGAGACAGUGAAAGGGCAGAGGGAUGCAGAGGCCAGGAGAGAGUUUGAUCCGUCUGAUGAUGACAGCAGAGAAUGAAAGUCCUUCAGCUUGGUUUAGGUUCAGGGCCACAGAUGGUCGUCAGAAAGCAGAGAGCCGAGAGGGUGGAGGGAGAUUUGGAAAGAUUUGGAGAGGAGAUAAGGAGAUAAGGCCAGGAAAGAAGAAGCUGCUACGCUUCACUUACAUAUAUGAACUGUCCACUUCCUGUGUGGCUGCAGGUGAUGGAGGCUUGUUUCCUGCUGCUGCCGCACAAUCAGUGCAGUACAAAACAUGAAGGUGAUGGAGGAGCUCACAGCAGGUCCCAGCUGCACAGGUGGUGUUUGUGUUGAAAGGACACGCCCCCUCCUCAUUCCUCGCCUCCUUGGCCCACCUGAGAGGCGAGCAGAGGAGGAGAGAGGAGUGCGGCCAGUGCAGCUGUGGAGCUCACAAUGUUGGGGAGUAACAGACUACAUGUACUGAGUUACUUAUUUAAAAUACAAAAUAUGAGUAACUGUAUUCUGU